Strongylocentrotus purpuratus (purple sea urchin) is the source of this 484-nucleotide long non-coding RNA. RefSeq lists it as uncharacterized. The transcript is spliced from 2 exons. Lineage: Eukaryota; Metazoa; Echinodermata; Echinoidea; Camarodonta; Strongylocentrotidae. The record is from RefSeq and is a predicted model, not a curated record.
UCAUUAUACGCAGACUGAACUAUAAACUUAACAAGACAGGCACGAAUGUUGCAUGUUACGUGCUGCCUGAAUGCCAUUUCGUGUACAAAAUCGACAUUGAUCUUCUUGCACUAUAAUACAAUUAUUGUAUAAGAUACUGCUCCUCAGCAUUAAUCUUGCUGUAUGAACAAACAGCAAUAUAAUCCGAUCAGCAGUUGGCACCUGUGUACUGCAUUGUGGAAUUUAUGAUGCUGCGAUAUAUAGGAAACCUUAACAUUUACACCAUCAUCGUGGAUUAAAUAAUCAUGGAUCUUACCUCCAUCUCAAACACCAUCUCAAACACCGUCGAAUCGACAACGCCAUCGUCCACCAGCUCGGAACUCAAACUCACCAUCAUCUUCUCCGUGGUCGCCCUGGUGAGCUUCAUUGCCCUCGUCCUACUCCUGUGCUACAUCACACGAACUACCAGACGACAGUUCGACGAGGCGGAAAAGAAACUCGAAAA